This 468-nucleotide ribosomal RNA is filed under the name uncultured bacterium. Its description in RNAcentral is "partial 16S ribosomal RNA". It matches the Rfam family "Bacterial small subunit ribosomal RNA", at positions 28 to 507 of the family's 1533-position model. The record is from RNAcentral.
GACGAACGCUGGCGGCGUGCUUAACACAUGCAAGUCGAACGGAAGGUCCCUGAUUUUGUGGGGUGCCCGGGUGGCGAACGGGUGAGUAACACGUGUGUAACCUGCCCUUGCUUUUUGUCUAACUUCACGAAACUGGGGCUACUACCAGACAGCAGAUUCUGCAGCGUGGUAUGCGUUGGAACGUAUCGGCGGUUGGGGGUGGACUCGCGGCUUAUCAGCUUGUUGGUGGGGUAGUGGCUUACCAAGGCUUUGGCGGGUAGCUCGCCUGGGUGGGUGACCGGCCACAUUGCGACUGAGGUACGGCGCAGACGCGUACGGGAGACAACAGUGGGAAAUAUUGCACAAAGGGAGCACGCCUGAGAAAGCAACGACGCGUGCGGGAUGACGGCAUUCGGGUUGUAAACCGCUUUCGCCUGAGACGAAGCGUGAGUGACGGUAAUGGGUAAAGAAGCACCGGCUAACUACGUG